RNAcentral lists this unclassified non-coding RNA (343 nucleotides) under Roseovarius azorensis. Its description in RNAcentral is "Long range pseudoknot". The record is from RNAcentral. Lineage: Bacteria; Pseudomonadati; Pseudomonadota; Alphaproteobacteria; Rhodobacterales; Roseobacteraceae.
ACGCAUGACUAUCAGGUCAAGAUGCGCAGCGUGGUGAAAUUCCUCGAAGGUGGCGAUAAGGUAAAGAUAACCCUGCGCUUCCGCGGACGCGAAAUGGCGCAUCAGGAUCUCGGCCGUCAGCUUCUCGAACGAAUCGCCGACGACAUCAAGGAGGUCGGGCGCAUCGAGAACAUGCCCAAGAUGGAAGGCCGCCAGAUGAUCAUGAUCAUCGGGCCCGGUCCCAGAUAAUCGCGCAACCCGGCUGAAACGGAUGGUCCCCGGCCGAUGGUCCGGGGAUUUUUCGUCUUUCGCUUGCGCUGCGCUGUCUGUCGCGUAGGAUAUGGCGCUUUCCCUGACCGGAGCA